GACGAACUGUCCUAACGUUGUUCGGAAUCACUGGGCGUAAAGCGCACGUAGGCGGAUUGUUAAGUCAGGGGUGAAAUCCUGGAGCUCAACUCCAGAACUGCCUUUGAUACUGGCGAUCUCGAGUCCGGGAGAGGUGAGUGGAACUGCGAGUGUAGAGGUGAAAUUCGUAGAUAUUCGCAAGAACACCAGUGGCGAAGGCGGCUCACUGGCCCGGUACUGACGCUGAGGUGCGAAAGCGUGGGGAGCAAACAGG
Molecule: ribosomal RNA, 253 nt
Filed under: uncultured bacterium
Lineage: Bacteria
Description: partial 16S ribosomal RNA
Rfam family: Bacterial small subunit ribosomal RNA
Source: RNAcentral